RNAcentral lists this ribosomal RNA (443 nucleotides) under uncultured bacterium. Its description in RNAcentral is "partial 16S ribosomal RNA". It matches the Rfam family "Bacterial small subunit ribosomal RNA", at positions 338 to 795 of the family's 1533-position model. The record is from RNAcentral.
CCUACGGGAGGCAGCAGUGGGGAAUAUUGGGCAAUGGGCGCAAGCCUGACCCAGCGACGCCGCGUGAAGGAAGAAGUCUUUCGGGUUGUAAACUUCUUUUCUGAGGGACGAAGCAAGUGACGGUACAUCAGGAAUAAGCCGCGGCUAACUACGUUCCAGCAGCCGCGGUAAUACGUAGGUGGCAAGCAUUAGACGGAUUUAGUGGGAGUAAAGGGCGUGUAGGCGGGAAAGACAGUCAGAUGUGAAAACUCAGGGCUCAACCCUGAGCCUGCAUUUGAAACUGUUUUUCUUGAGGGCUGGAGUGGCAAGCGGAAGUCCGGGUGUAGCGGUGAAAUGCGUAGAUAUACGGAGGAACACCAGUGGCGAAGGCGGAUUGCUGGACAGUAACUGACGCUGAGGCGCGAAAGCGUGGGGAGCAAACAGGAUUAGAUACCCCUGUAGUC